RNAcentral lists this transfer RNA (75 nucleotides) under Candidatus Aminicenantota bacterium. RNAcentral's name for it is "tRNA-Gln". The record is from RNAcentral. Lineage: Bacteria; Candidatus Aminicenantota.
UGGGGAUUGGCUUACCUUCAGGGACACAUGACUCUGGAUCAUGGAAUCGGGGUUUGAAUCCCUGCUUCCCAGCCA